Molecule: ribosomal RNA, 181 nt
Filed under: uncultured bacterium
Lineage: Bacteria
Description: partial 16S ribosomal RNA
Rfam family: Bacterial small subunit ribosomal RNA
Source: RNAcentral
AUGAAGCUGGAAUCGCUAGUAAUCGCGGAUCAGAAUGCCGCGGUGAAUACGUUCCCGGGUCUUGUACACACCGCCCGUCACACCAUGGGAGUUGGGAAUGCCCGAAGCCGGUGACCUAACCGAAAGGGAGGAGCCGUCGAAGGCAGGCUCGAUAACUGGGGUGAAGUCGUAACAAGGUACC